UACGUAGGUGGCAAGCGUUGUCCGGAUUUACUGGGCGUAAAGAGCGCGCAGGCGGUCGUUCAAGUCGCGUGUGAAAGCCCCCGGCUCAACUGGGGAGGGUCACGCGAUACUGAUCGACUCGAAGGCAGGAGAGGGAAGUGGAAUUCCCGGUGUAGUGGUGAAAUGCGUAGAUAUCGGGAGGAACACCAGUGGCGAAGGCGACUUCCUGGCCUGUUCUUGACGCUGAGGCGCGAAAGCCAGGGGAGCGAAUGGG
This 253-nucleotide ribosomal RNA is filed under the name uncultured bacterium. RNAcentral's name for it is "partial 16S ribosomal RNA". It matches the Rfam family "Bacterial small subunit ribosomal RNA", at positions 524 to 776 of the family's 1533-position model. The record is from RNAcentral.